UCUCAAUUAUAUUAAACCCAAAGAAAUCCAGUGCAGAGGUAAGUUUUGAGCUUUGUAUUCCCUCAUUUCUUUCCAUUAUUCAUCCCACAAGUAUUGAGAAACCAAUAUGGCAGCUCUCUUCCAUUACUUCGAUCAGAGGGGUACUAGUAGCAAAUCCAGCAACUACACCUUUCAAUUUCAGUAACACAAAUCAAAGGCUUCGUGACCAGGGGGAUUAGCGCUGCUUUCCCAAGACAGAUUUAUAUGUGAUUAUGAUCUUCAGGCUUUGCCUAACCAGGUUGGCUGGCCGGUGCUGACGGGACGGAGCUGAGGCUAGCGAUAAAUUCCUAUGUUAGACUUCCGCUGUAGCAAUUACUCAUAUCAGUCUUUUUGUUUUCCCAACUUAAGAUCUUCAUGUUAAAUUUCAAAUAAUAUAUUUGACCGAGCUUAGACUUUUCACUACUAAAUUUAUGCCAAUGAAUGUCGGUUGUCAGGAGCAUGAAACAAAACUUGUGAUCCAAAGGGGCAUAGCCCGACUUUCUAUCCUAUUUCGGGUUUUUACAAGGUUGUUCCUUGUUUAUUUCUAUGAAUUAGUUGCAC
Long non-coding RNA from Salvia miltiorrhiza (redroot sage), 579 nucleotides. RefSeq lists it as uncharacterized. The record is from RefSeq and is a predicted model, not a curated record. Lineage: Eukaryota; Viridiplantae; Streptophyta; Magnoliopsida; Lamiales; Lamiaceae. The transcript is spliced from 3 exons.